UAGAUAUUUAUGAUCUACCCUAUUUGAAUGCUUGACACAGCGGCACAUCGGGAUGAUCAUGCAAUUUGUUUAUCACACAAUUCCCACUUCAUUUGUUAAGCUAACUUGGUUUUACGAGCUAGCUGCUUCUACACCCGUAUUGUAUUGCUCGCGUGAUUUGUGAUGUUAACAGUUUGUUUAGUCCAUAAUUUAUUAACGUGAUUGUUUAUAUGCGUGACAUCUCAGCCACAUCCACCUCUGGUUUGCAUGUAACAUCAAAAUUAGCUGCAAGUUCAGUGUGGUGCAACUAAGUUAGCCUAGCUUUACCAAAGGUGUUGUAUGAUUGUUCUCCCUUUCCAAGGUCUCUGGCUUUUCCAAAUUCGACAUUAGCUCAUUUUGCAUCACUAACUAAUCAGUAUUAAUGUGUAUUUUGUGUGCAAAGUGCCGUUGAAAAUAUCUGAAAAAGGAGAUCUGAACAGAAAUAAGAGGAGCUAUUAAGUCACACCAACCUAAUUGUCUCUUCUAAGCACAAUCUUCUCGUUGAUUUAAUGCAUGUCAUAUUAUCCAUCCUCUCCACAGAAUAUGACAACAUUGUCUUCAUAUGGCUGUUUGUAUGCAUUAUCUAACUGAAGUUGUGUGUGGUUUUUCUGUUGCACAUUUAAGAAACUUACUAUUUCUUUUGGUCUAAAUCUUACUUUACAGUUUUACGUCUCCAGUUUUCCCUGAGGUCCAAAAUAUUCAGUGGAGUGAAACUGUUGAUGGCAGCAAAAUGUAACAAGCUUGUCCUGGAGGACUGCUCUGAUGGGGAAUGCUGUGGAGGAGAAACAGGCAGACUGUGGUCCAUCGUGUGUGCUCCCAGUGCGUUAAUACACGGACAGUCCUUUUUAAGUGCAACCAGAGGAAUAAUGUGAUUGAGAGGAAGAGUGGCCCCAUACAUUGCUUGACCUGGAGCCUACCAAAGUCUAAGGUCUCAGGUGUCUCCAGAAGAACACAUCCCAAUGAAGACCCCAGUCAUAGUCAUCAACUUGACAGCUCAGCCUGUUACUUGAACUGUGUUCUUAGAGCCAAGUGUAACUGAGUUUUCCACACAGUCUGUCCCCCUUAGAUCUUGAACUUGCCACCACCUAGUCAACGCAUCGGUUCGGGUAUGGGAGGCACAGCACGAUACCGCUGAGCUAAAUGACCAGUCCCAUAGCUCAGCGCUGCUGGUACUGUAUGAGGCUUCGGGAGGGAGGUUUACUAUCCUUCCACGCCACACUCUGCUAGUUGGCCUCCGUUACACAAGCUCGAAUAAUCCAAGCAGCCAAUCCAACUUCUUCAGCACUGCCUUUGAACACUAUGAAGAACCACUCAGAACCACUGAAUGAAACUAAAUGACCACAUUAUACUGUUAAAGGUCCACUGUGUAGGAUGGUGAUCAGAGCAGGUAUUGCACCUAUGCUGCUCAUUGCAACUGUGCUACCUAUUGUCCAUUUUGACUUUUGAAUUUUCAAGAAUUUUACCAAGUAUUUACUAGUAUGUACCAAUAUUUACUAGUAUGACCAAAAUACAGUACAUUAUGCAACUAAAUUCAAGAUGGUGGACAAUGGACUCCUUUCAUGUUUUCAUGAAAAGUGUAAUUUUCCCAGUCAUAAUGAAUACUCAGAAUUUGAUGGUGGUAAGUAUUCUGAAAAAGGUUACAUUUGUGAAUGGCCUGAAUUAAUGCUGGAAAGAAACUGCUUAAAAAUAUUACACAGCGUACCUUUUAACAUUUCAUCUGUAGUAACAGAAUGUAGCGUUUCUCAGCUGCGACUCAAACCUAGGCCCUCUUUCGUGGUGGUUGUUGUAAUGACACACUAAAAGCGAUAAUAUCUGCAUGAAGCUGCUCAGA
Molecule: long non-coding RNA, 1849 nt
Organism: Engraulis encrasicolus (European anchovy)
Lineage: Eukaryota; Metazoa; Chordata; Actinopteri; Clupeiformes; Engraulidae
Exons: 4
Source: RefSeq, a predicted model, not a curated record